RNAcentral lists this ribosomal RNA (497 nucleotides) under uncultured bacterium. Its description in RNAcentral is "partial 16S ribosomal RNA". It matches the Rfam family "Bacterial small subunit ribosomal RNA", at positions 28 to 507 of the family's 1533-position model. The record is from RNAcentral.
GACGAACGCUGGCGGCGUGCCUAAUACAUGCAAGUUGAGCGAUGAAGAUUGGUGCUUGCACCAAUUUGAAGAGCAGCGAACGGGUGAGUAACGCGUGGGGAAUCUGCCUUUGAGCGGGGGACAACAUUUGGAAACGAAUGCUAAUACCGCAUAACAACUUUAAACAUAAGUUUUAAGUUUGAAAGAUGCAAUUGCAUCACUCAAAGAUGAUCCCGCGUUGUAUUAGCUAGUUGGUGAGGUAAAGGCUCACCAAGGCGAUGAUACAUAGCCGACCUGAGAGGGUGGUCGGCCACAAUGGGACUGAGACACGGCCCAAACUCCCAAGGGAGGCAGCAGUAGGGAAUCUUCGGCAAUGGACGAAAGGCUGACCGAGCAACGCCGCGGGAGUGAAGAAGGUUUUCGGAUCGUAAAACUCUGUUGGUAGGGAAGAACGUUGGUGAGAGUGGAAAGCUCAUCAAGUGACGGUAACUACCCAGAAAGGGACGGCUAACUACGUG